RNAcentral lists this ribosomal RNA (433 nucleotides) under uncultured bacterium. RNAcentral's name for it is "bacterial SSU rRNA". It matches the Rfam family "Bacterial small subunit ribosomal RNA", at positions 29 to 507 of the family's 1533-position model. The record is from RNAcentral.
AACGAACGCUGGCGGCACGCCUAACACAUGCAAGUCGAGCGAGACCUUCGGGUCUAGCGGCGGACGGGUUAGUAACGCGUGGGAACGUGCCCUUCUCUGCGGAAUAGCCACUGGAAACGGUGAGUAAUACCGCAUACGCCUUCGGGGGAAAGGAUUUAUCGGAGAAGGAUCGGCCCGCGUUAGAUUAGAUAGUUGGUGGGUAACGGCCUACCAAGUCUACGAUCUAUAGCUGGGUUUUAGAGGAUGAUCAGCAACACUGGGACUGAGACACGGCCCAGACUCCUACGGGAGGCAGCAGUGGGGAAUCUUAGACAAUGGGCGCAAGCCUGAUCUAGCCAUGCCGCGUGUGUGAUGAAGGUCUUAGGAUCGUAAAGCACUUUCGCCAGGGAUGAUAAUGACAGUACCUGGUAAAGAAACCCCGGCUAACUCCGUG